This is a long non-coding RNA of Diabrotica virgifera virgifera (western corn rootworm), 1629 nucleotides long. RefSeq lists it as uncharacterized. The transcript is spliced from 2 exons. NCBI's taxonomy places the organism in Eukaryota, Metazoa, Arthropoda, Insecta, Coleoptera, Chrysomelidae. The record is from RefSeq and is a predicted model, not a curated record.
ACAAUAAAGUAAAAAUUUAGAAGCAAUUAAUAAAAUUUAAAUGAGUAUGUAUAAUUUUUCAUUGUGUUAAUUCACUUGAAGAAACUUAGGUAUACAGUCCUUUACAGAUUAAAACAUUUGUUGUUGUAAGUGAUGUAAAACAGUGAUGUUUUACCUACUAGCCUAACCUAACUUUUUUGCUUACUUGUAUAGACAUCACAAACUAGCAACAAAUAAGCAUAACGAUGUAAUCAUGCUUAUUGCUAAUUCAAUUUUUUUCUAUUAAAUUUUUUUAUUAAUUUUGUUAAUUUAUUUUUUAUUAUUUUUUCCAUUAUUUUCUAUUAUUUUUUAUUAUUUUAUUAUUUUUUUCUUUUUUAUUAUUUUUUGUUAACUUAAUUUUUAUUUAAUUUGUCGAUACAAUUGUUAUAUGGCGAUAUUCCGAUUAGACCUGAUAUAUUGGUUUUUUAUUUUGAAGUGUUUCUGUCUAUGUCACCACGUAGGAGUACACAGUACAGUAAAAAAACACAGUUAUGAUGUGUUUUUUAUAAUUAUUGUCUAGUAUUUUUUUAUAUUUAUAUUUUAUAACCAGUAUUUAUGAACAAUCCGACAGAUCUUAUUGAACUCAUGUCGUUUUCUUUCUAUCGGUCCAUUUUAGAGCCUUUAAAUUAGUACAGAUAUUUAUCUUGAAGUAAGGAAGAUAUAAACUUGUUCAAUAAUUGAAACAUAUCUUUCGUCAGGUUAGUCUAGAACUGACGUUUUGAAAUGUUAGUUAUGUUUGUACACGUAUACGUCACUCUAAUCAGUUCCAAACAUUUGUAUUUAACUACAAAGGUCAAAUUUUAGUGACUUCAGAAUGGCGUUGGUUGUUAACAACCCGUCCAAAUAUAAUCACCGUGCGGCCAUGCAAAUUUCAACCCUCUGUGGGCAAGGUCAUUAACAUGUUUUUUUCAACCUUGAAAGACCCUUGCUCAUGGAGUUUUCGGAAACUAGACUGCAUAUUAACGAAAACCUUUAUAGGGAAACUUUAAACAAGGUUUAUCAAGCAAUAUGACCAAAACUUAGAAGUGAAAAAUUACUAUUUUCAUGUAUUUUAUUUUUCCAUGAGUAAAAAUAAAAACCGUAGUCGUGCAACUUGGUUCAUAGGUCCAUCUUGAUAUAAGGAAAGACUCUUUUUUGUGGGUAAUUCAUUUGUUAUUUUUCUCGUAGCCUUAUCGUUUUCCAUUUUCUUGAAGGAAAAGACCAAGAUGCGUAAAGCUUGGUACAUGAGUUUCUGUUGAUUCUACAUUCAAGAAUUUUGUUGAGUGCAAUAUUCCGUUAUAUCGGUUUGUUGAUUUAUCAUUUUAUAUUAUAUAGACUGCUACGCCAUAUGUAUGUGAAAAAAAAUAUUAAUUGGAUCACAUCCUUUUGUAAAAUCUGAAAAGUUCAAGUGCUUUGUCAACAAUAUAUCUACAUAAGAUAUUAAUUGCUGCUACUUAUCUCUCUAGUUUGAUAACGGUAUUACUUUUAUCUUGAAUAUUUUCAUUCUAAAAACUUAGAUUUUAUUGUAAUAUUAAUACUUACGGUACUGAAAGCCCAGCAUGAUCCACAGUUUCCUUGAUCCUUGACUCCCAAGUCAGCGCUUGAUCUCCAAUCAACUUCAUCUGCAGCUUG